ACGCCUAACACAUGCAAGUCGAACGAAGUAGCAAUACUUAGUGGCAGACGGGUGAGUAACAUGUAGGUAUCUGCCCUUUGGCCUGGAAUAACACGAGGAAACUUGUGCUAAUACCGGAUAAGUCUUUACGGAGAAAGCUUUAUGCACCAUUGGAUGAGCCUGCACUUGAUUAGUUUGUUGGUGGGGUAAUGGCCUACCAAGACUGUGAUCAAUAGCUGAUUUGAGAGGAUGAUCAGCCACAUUGGGACUGAGACACGGCCCAAACUCCUACGGGAGGCAGCAGUGGGGAAUCUUGCACAAUGGAGGAAACUCUGAUGCAGCGAUGCCGCGUGAGUGAAGAAGGCCCUUGGGUUGUAAAGCUCUUUCGUCGGGGAAGAAAAUGACUGUACCCGAAUAAGAAGGUCCGGCUAACUUCGUGCCAGCAGCCGCGGUAAUACGAAGGGACCUAGCGUAGUUCGGAAUUACUGGGCUUAAAGAGUUCGUAGGUGGUUGAAAAAGUUGGUGGUGAAAUCCCAGAGCUUAACUCUGGAACUGCCAUCAAAACUUUUCAGCUAGAGUAUGAUAGAGGAAAGCAGAAUUUCUAGUGUAGAGGUGAAAUUCGUAGAUAUUAGAAAGAAUACCAAUUGCGAAGGCAGCUUUCUGGAUCAUUACUGACACUGAGGAACGAAAGCAUGGGUAGCGAAGAGGAUUAGAUACCCUCGUAGUCCAUGCCGUAAACGAUGUGUGUUAGACGUUGGAAAUUUAUUUUCAGUGUCGCAGGGAAACCGAUAAACACACCGCCUGGGGAGUACGACCGC
Molecule: ribosomal RNA, 797 nt
Filed under: uncultured Pelagibacteraceae bacterium
Lineage: Bacteria; Pseudomonadati; Pseudomonadota; Alphaproteobacteria; Candidatus Pelagibacterales; Candidatus Pelagibacteraceae
Description: bacterial SSU rRNA
Rfam family: Bacterial small subunit ribosomal RNA
Source: RNAcentral